UUUAUUAAUAGCUCAAUAGGCAGAGCAACUGACUUGUAAUCAGUAGGUUGUUGGUUCGAUUCCGAUAGUCGGC
This 73-nucleotide transfer RNA is filed under the name Bacilli bacterium. RNAcentral's name for it is "tRNA-Thr". The stretch from base 9 to 66 matches the Rfam family "tRNA", at positions 8 to 63 of the family's 71-position model. Rfam says of the family: Transfer RNA (tRNA) molecules are approximately 80 nucleotides in length. Their secondary structure includes four short double-helical elements and three loops (D, anti-codon, and T loops). Further hydrogen bonds mediate the characteristic L-shaped molecular structure. tRNAs have two regions of fundamental functional importance: the anti-codon, which is responsible for specific mRNA codon recognition, and the 3' end, to which the tRNAs corresponding amino acid is attached (by aminoacyl-tRNA synthetases). tRNAs cope with the degeneracy of the genetic code in two manners: having more than one tRNA (with a specific anti-codon) for a particular amino acid; and 'wobble' base-pairing, i.e. permitting non-standard base-pairing at the 3rd anti-codon position. Lineage: Bacteria; Bacillati; Bacillota; Bacilli. The record is from RNAcentral.